This is a long non-coding RNA of Gallus gallus (chicken), 750 nucleotides long. The record is from Ensembl. Lineage: Eukaryota; Metazoa; Chordata; Aves; Galliformes; Phasianidae.
AGGAGAUCUGCUCCAGCUCAAUUCUGCAAAGCUGAGCUUUCCUUCGAUAGGCUUGGAAGUGGCGUGUUGUUUGUGGAAACUUCUGAAUACUGAAAAUGAGGGGCCUUUCGUAGCACCUCAGGACAAUCAUUUCAAGUUAGCAGUCAAGCUGCGUGGAAAAAACAGCUCCUCGGCUGUGCCUGCCAGAUCCUGUUGGCUCUGCUGAAGGCUCCAUUGGGGAAUGGUGAGAAAAUAAAGCGAGAAAACAAAUUUCAGGUCCAUUCUCAGCUGAGAUGAGCAACGACCAUUGCAAGAGCAGAAAGCCAUGCUGCAGCAGGAGGAGGAUGUGAAAUCACACUGGAGGACCUUGAGGCACUCACAGUCCCACUGGAGAGGGAAAUACUGAGCCACAAGGAUGGAAUCUCAGUGCCCUGAAGAAACUUGGAUGUUUGUCCAUAUGUACCAGCAAGAAGAGUAAAACCAAAGUCCCCAAGCUACACAUUGACUGCUCCUGACUGCAAGAGGAGUCAUUUCACAAACCCAGUGUCGUGUGGUGCUGAAGACUUCCAGAAAACUCAAGUGGACAUGAGAGUGAACCAUGUGCUCAGGAUGAAUCAGGAAUCCCAUGUGGGUGACUCAGUCAAAUGGCUGCCCCAUUGGCAGGGCUUGAGGCUUUGGACAGGCUGAAGGAAAAGUGCUGAUCAGGAUGUGAGCCUUUCUCAGGAGAGGUGGGGAUGGGCUUUAGUCAGAACACAAGCUGUAACUGCGUGG